Molecule: transfer RNA, 74 nt
Organism: Desulfuromonas soudanensis
Lineage: Bacteria; Pseudomonadati; Thermodesulfobacteriota; Desulfuromonadia; Desulfuromonadales; Desulfuromonadaceae
Rfam family: tRNA
About the family: Transfer RNA (tRNA) molecules are approximately 80 nucleotides in length. Their secondary structure includes four short double-helical elements and three loops (D, anti-codon, and T loops). Further hydrogen bonds mediate the characteristic L-shaped molecular structure. tRNAs have two regions of fundamental functional importance: the anti-codon, which is responsible for specific mRNA codon recognition, and the 3' end, to which the tRNAs corresponding amino acid is attached (by aminoacyl-tRNA synthetases). tRNAs cope with the degeneracy of the genetic code in two manners: having more than one tRNA (with a specific anti-codon) for a particular amino acid; and 'wobble' base-pairing, i.e. permitting non-standard base-pairing at the 3rd anti-codon position.
Source: Rfam
CGCGGGGUGGAGCAGUCUGGUAGCUCGUCGGGCUCAUAACCCGAAGGUCGAAGGUUCAAAUCCUUCCCCCGCAA